This 301-nucleotide ribosomal RNA is filed under the name uncultured bacterium. RNAcentral's name for it is "partial 16S ribosomal RNA". It matches the Rfam family "Bacterial small subunit ribosomal RNA", at positions 509 to 807 of the family's 1533-position model. The record is from RNAcentral.
CAGCCGCCACGGUAACACGUAGGUGGCAAGCGUUGUCCGGAAUUAUUGGGCGUAAAGGGCUCGCAGGCGGUUUCUUAAGUCUGAUGUGAAAGCCCCCGGCUCAACCGGGGAGGGUCAUUGGAAACUGGGAAACUUGAGUGCAGAAGAGGAGAGUGGAAUUCCGCGUGUAGCGGUGAAAUGCGUAGAGAUGUGGAGGAACACCAGUGGCGAAGGCGACUCUCUGGUCUGUAACUGACGCUGAGGAGCGAAAGCGUGGGGAGCGAACAGGAUUAGAUACCCCGGUAGUCCCUGUCUCUUAUAC